This is a long non-coding RNA of Macadamia integrifolia, 901 nucleotides long. RefSeq lists it as uncharacterized. The transcript has 2 exons. The record is from RefSeq and is a predicted model, not a curated record. Lineage: Eukaryota; Viridiplantae; Streptophyta; Magnoliopsida; Proteales; Proteaceae.
CUGGAAGGUCCUUCCUUGCGUCCGCUAUGGUGGUGGUUGCGGUGGCAGUGGUGGUGGUGGUGCGGCCAAGCCUGAGAGAGAAGGAAGUGUGGGAGCAUUUGACCGAGCUCGACCCUCUCUUUCUAUAACUAGAGGGAGAAGGCGACGGACGACGUCCUUGGAUUUGGGGGCUGCCGAGUUGGUGGCAAGCAGCGAGGGGGGCAGCAGGGCUGAGAGAGAGAGAGGGUCUCUGGCUGCUUUGGGGUCCAGAAGAAAGCGGAACAGAGAACGGGCAAAUGGGAUGGGAGAAAAUUAUUAAGGGGUGCUGCUAAAACUCCGCCUACGCCGAGCUUUUCGGUGGCUGAACAAAAUCCCGGUUUCCAUGGUCUCCGCCUGUUCCGCCUCCGUCUCCGCCGUAGCAGCUUUGGGUUUCACCAUUCGCCCUUCCAAACCAAUUUGAUUUUCCCCUGAGCCGGGGUGUGACAGUUAUUACAGUUGAUACUUAUAAUGUUCAAACAGUGCGGUUAGGGUUAGGGUUAAAUUGUACGGUCCGGCCAGUCCGGUAUGGUUCACCUUAGAGGUAGAUUUUUUUAGUUAAAUUUUUUUUUCUUUUUUGGUCUUUUUUGUUGUCUUUGUCUUUGUCUUAUGUAGCCUCCACGUGCCAAUGAGGGCUGAUGGAUAUAAACUGAUUGCGGGUUUUUUGGAUUUCUAAGGGUCAGAGCGUCACUUCACCAUCCUCUAUGUUUAGGCGUUCAGGUCACAAAAUUAAGGAAUAUUCAUUUCUCCUUGUAUAGGAAGAGGGUUUCUUGAAAGGCAAUGUGGCUCUUGUACCGGUGUGGGAAUCAAUGAAAGCACAUAUAAAAACAUCAAAUGAAUGAAAUUUUCAUCUUUCAUGAGAAGUGAGGUGGUCAUUUCUUCCACC